This 223-nucleotide long non-coding RNA is filed under the name Brassica napus (rape). Its description in RNAcentral is "long non-coding RNA (BNAP_LNC006053)". The record is from RNAcentral. Lineage: Eukaryota; Viridiplantae; Streptophyta; Magnoliopsida; Brassicales; Brassicaceae.
CGCGUUGAACAAUAAUUCUUGUGUGUUUUCUCCCAUCCGGUCAACUGUCCGAUCCCCACCUAGUCAUCGACAUACUAUAAUAUUGUUUUAUUUCCAGGAAGGAAUCAUGCAUAUACAAAUGCUCAUUAUAAUAUUGUUUUAUUUCCAGGAAGGAAUCAUGCAUAUACAAAUGCUCAUUUAUCAUUAUUGUCAUGGAAAAUAAACUAGUAAAAGGUAACUGAAA